This 282-nucleotide long non-coding RNA is filed under the name Pelobates cultripes (western spadefoot toad). The record is from RNAcentral. Lineage: Eukaryota; Metazoa; Chordata; Amphibia; Anura; Pelobatidae.
GUUUAGCUUACCGGGUCUGUAGCUGAUGGUAAAAUUGUAGGGCUGUAGGGCCAAGCUCCAUCUCAGCAGUCUCCCAUUGUCUCCUGAGACCCGGUUAAGCCAAACGAGUGGGUUGUGAUCAGUCACCAGGGAAAACUCUUGUCCAUACAGAUAGGGGCUUAACUUUUUCAAUGCCCAGACCAAGGCCAAACACUCCUUCUCCACUGCCGCAUAACUCACUUCUCUGGGUAACAACUUUCUGCUGAGAUAUGCGACAGGGUGCUCUCCUCCAUCUUCCCCGAC